Long non-coding RNA from Lolium rigidum, 449 nucleotides. RefSeq lists it as uncharacterized. Lineage: Eukaryota; Viridiplantae; Streptophyta; Magnoliopsida; Poales; Poaceae. The transcript has 4 exons. The record is from RefSeq and is a predicted model, not a curated record.
GUCUUGGUGAACCAAUUCGAGGUGUCGUUGAGUUCUACAGGAUCUCCUCCACAGUGAUGUCCUAGCCAUCCAUAAGGAGAGGAUGUCGACGCUGUGAAGUGGUAGGCGAGGAUACCGCACGUGUUCUGCAAGAUGCUUAUCUUCUUCGACGCCCUCGACACAGGUGCACGAUUCCUCUUCUCCGGUGGCGACACGGUCAAUAGCGACACCCUUGACUUCAGCCUUCAUGACUUCUUCACUUGCCAGCCAGGCUGGCCGUCGUUUAUGAGGAAGAGCUGCUAAAGGCUGAUUGACAAGGGCAAGGUGGCGCGACGGUGAUGAUCUAGAGCAUCUUUCGCAGUUAUCUCGGCCUGUUAUUUAUGAUGACAGUUUAUUCACUAUUCAUUCAGAGAAGACAUGUUGUUGGUUGGGGUGACACAACAACAUGUGCUGCAGCUCGGUUAGUUGGC